AAAGGGCACAAAAAUUAACUGCUGAGAAUGGGUAUCAACGAGAUCAAGUGGAAUGAAAUCAAAUCACCAAUUUCUCAUUUGUUUUGGUGAUUGAAAUUCAUCUUCUCAAAAUUGAAAGUAAGGAAAGCGAGAUUCACUUCAUCCUUCCCCCACUGCGUCUUCGAUCUUGCAGCACCGGCGGCGCCGCUGGAGCUAGCGGAAGGCAAGGCCACGCUGAAGCCACAGCAGCAGCGAGCGGCGCUGAAGACGACGAAGAGGAAGCCGGCUUCAGCAGCGGCCAGAGAUAGCUCGAGUAGAAGCGGCGGAAUCCGCUGAGGGCCGAGACGACCAGCACGCGCUCCUCUCUCUAUCUCUCGUUCCCAACGAUCACCGAUCUCUCUCUCUCACUACUUCUCUCCGGCGAUCUCA
RNAcentral lists this long non-coding RNA (408 nucleotides) under Salvia miltiorrhiza (redroot sage). Its description in RNAcentral is "long non-coding RNA (SMIL_LNC014382)". Lineage: Eukaryota; Viridiplantae; Streptophyta; Magnoliopsida; Lamiales; Lamiaceae. The record is from RNAcentral.